UGGGGAAUCUUGCACAAUGGGGGCAACCCUGAUGCAGCGACGCCGCGUGAGCGAUGAAGCCCUUCGGGGUGUAAAGCUCUUUCGGCAGGGACGAUAAUGACGGUACCUGCAGAAGCAGCUGCGGCUAACUACGUGCCAGCAGCCGCGGUAAUACGUAGGCAGCGAGCGUUGUUCGGAGUUACUGGGCGUAAAGGGUGCGUAGGCGGCCGAUUAAGUUUGUCGUGAAAUCUCCCGGCUUAACUGGGAGGGUGCGGCGAAUACUGACCGGCUCGAGUGUGGGAGAGGAGAGUGGAAUUCCUGGUGUAGCGGUGAAAUGCGUAGAUAUCAGGAGGAACACCGGCGGUGUAGACGGCUCUCUGGACCAUAACUGACGCUGAGGCACGAAAGCGUGGGUAGCAAACAGGAUUAGAUACCCUGGUAGUCCACGCCCUAAACGAUGCACAUUUGGUGUGGGCAGUUCAUUCUGUCCGUGCCGGAGC
Molecule: ribosomal RNA, 479 nt
Filed under: uncultured Acidobacteriota bacterium
Lineage: Bacteria; Pseudomonadati; Acidobacteriota
Description: bacterial SSU rRNA
Rfam family: Bacterial small subunit ribosomal RNA
Source: RNAcentral